GAUGAAGAACGCAGCGAAAUGCGUAAAGUAAUGUGAAUUGCAGAAUUCAGUGAAUCAUCGAAUCUUUGAACGCACAUUGCGCCCGCUGGUACUCCGGCGGGCACGCCUGUCCGAGCGUCAUUUCAACCCUCAAGCCCUCCUUCGGGAUGGGCCUGGUGUUGGGGCUCGGCCGCCAUCUCCGGCGGCCGUCCCCUAAAUACAGUGGCGGUCACGUCGCGACUCCUUUGCGUAGUAGAAACACCUCGCUCCGGAUAGCAACGCGGUCCACGCCGUAAAACCCCCAAUUUUCAAUGGUUGACCUCGGAUCAGGUGGGAAUACCCGCUGAACUUAAGCAUAUCAAUAAGCGGAGGA
Molecule: unclassified non-coding RNA, 352 nt
Filed under: soil metagenome
Description: partial contains 5.8S ribosomal RNA, internal transcribed spacer 2, and large subunit ribosomal RNA
Rfam family: 5.8S ribosomal RNA (bases 1-120)
Source: RNAcentral